CCUACGGGCGGCAGCAGUGAGGAAUAUUGGUCAAUGGACGCAAGUCUGAACCAGCCAUGCCGCGUGCAGGAAGACGGCUCUAUGAGUUGUAAACUGCUUUUGUACGAGGGUAAACGCAGAUACGCGUAUCUUUCUGAAAGUAUCUUACGAAUAAGGAUCGGCUAACUCCGUGCCAGCAGCCGCGGUAAUACGGAGGAUUCAAGCGUUAUCCGGAUUUAUUGGGUUUAAAGGGAGCGUAGGCGGUCGGAUAAGUUAGAGGUGAAAUCCCGAGGCUCAACUUCGGAAUUGCCUCUGAUACUGUCAGGCUAGAGAGUAGUUGAGGUAGGCAGAAUGUAUGGUGUAGCGGUGAAAUGCUUAGAGAUCAUAAAGAACACCGAUUGCGAAGGCAGCUUACCAAGCUACUACUGACGUUGAGGCACGAAAGCGUGGGGAGCAAACAGGAUUAGAUACCCUGGUAGUC
This 460-nucleotide ribosomal RNA is filed under the name uncultured bacterium. RNAcentral's name for it is "partial 16S ribosomal RNA". It matches the Rfam family "Bacterial small subunit ribosomal RNA", at positions 338 to 795 of the family's 1533-position model. The record is from RNAcentral.